This 744-nucleotide ribosomal RNA is filed under the name Triticum aestivum (bread wheat). RNAcentral's name for it is "partial small subunit ribosomal RNA". Lineage: Eukaryota; Viridiplantae; Streptophyta; Magnoliopsida; Poales; Poaceae. The record is from RNAcentral.
AUGGAGUUGUUUACAGAAUACUUUUAUCUAAACCGGCAGAACGAGUGCACGAACGGUCUUAGCUUAGAGCUUCGAGGCAUAUCAAUUCAGCGCCGGCAGGGUGCCGUCUUCCCCCUCAUUGUCUUACCAAGUCACCCAAAGGACUGGAACCAGACUUGGUUCUACUGCCAGGACACUUCACCAGCAAACGAGAAGCCACAGCCGGGUUAUCGCCCCGAUCGUCUUGAUUCCAAGUUCGCGCUUCCUAAUAAGCUUACCGUUGCUGAACGCAAGAGGUUGAUACCGUCUAUCAAAAGGAUCAAUGCUUUGUUGGGGAACGGGUUAACUGGAGUUGAUCUGACCCGCUGCAGGAUCUCACGGCGGGUCAUCCCUUUGAGCCGCCGGUCAAAGCUGAUGUAUGAGUAUGGUGGAGGCCCAGAUGACUCUCUUCGUCACAACCACGUUCAAUUCACAGAAGAAGAUAUUGUCUCAAUGUCAACUCUUCUGGUGAAUGGGAAAUAUGAAGAUUGCAGUGUCGUCGGGUUAAACCCCUUCUGCCAGCUUAACCCCGUGCCAGAAGCCAACUCUGACUUCUGGAAAGUUAAGUAUGACCACGAGGCUGCCAAGAAAGCGAAAGCCGCCGCCAUAAACGCCAAGAAAACGACCCAGAGGUCGAAAAAGAAGAAAAAGAGCAUUGUUGAAGAUUUGAUGAAGCUUGAUGAUACAUCUGACUCGGAGUCAGGCCGUGGAAGCAGAGCAACAUGA